This is a small nuclear RNA of Meriones unguiculatus (Mongolian gerbil), 107 nucleotides long. The record is from Ensembl. NCBI's taxonomy places the organism in Eukaryota, Metazoa, Chordata, Mammalia, Rodentia, Muridae.
GUGCUCCCUUCGGGAACAUAUAUACUAAAACUGGAAUGAUACAGAGAAGAUUAGCAUAGCCCAUGCACAAGGAGGACAUGCAAAUUCCUGAAGCAUUCCUUAUUUUU